RNAcentral lists this signal recognition particle RNA (97 nucleotides) under Trueperaceae bacterium. RNAcentral's name for it is "signal recognition particle sRNA small type". It matches the Rfam family "Bacterial small signal recognition particle RNA". Rfam says of the family: The signal recognition particle (SRP) is a universally conserved ribonucleoprotein involved in the co-translational targeting of proteins to membranes. Archaeal SRP consists of a 7S RNA and homologues of the eukaryotic SRP19 and SRP54 proteins. In most bacteria, the SRP consists of a 4.5S RNA and the Ffh protein (a homologue of the eukaryotic SRP54 protein). The record is from RNAcentral. Lineage: Bacteria; Thermotogati; Deinococcota; Deinococci; Trueperales; Trueperaceae.
CCGCCGGCUCAACGCGGUGGCGACCCCCGAACCAGGUCAGGCCGAUAGGAGCAGCCUUAAAGGGUAAUCGUCAGGUGCCGUUGCUUACCCGGCGGGG